Non-coding RNA from Callithrix jacchus (white-tufted-ear marmoset), 1779 nucleotides. NCBI's taxonomy places the organism in Eukaryota, Metazoa, Chordata, Mammalia, Primates, Cebidae. The record is from RefSeq and is a predicted model, not a curated record.
AUGGCGGCCGCGUCUGUCCCUCCAGAAAGCUCAAUUAUCCAUCGGGCCAGCAGCGCCAUGAAGCGCACUGACGGUGGGAGGCUCGAGUUAGAAAUUAGGAAAGGAAUCUUCGCCCGGUUUGGGAGCGCCUGUCUCCUCUUCUCUCGUUGCUCGCAGCCAAGGCAGCCCCGGAGCUGGGGGCCCCAGGUGAAUGUUUUUGCCCUCUGGCCGGCGAUCAGGAGACCUGCGCACGUUAGCCGCCGAGUGACCCUAGCUUGAGCCUGCAGCCACACCGGCGGGAUGGGGGCGGGGAGGAAGAGGAAGGGCGGAGAGAUUUCCUUCUAGAGGGAGUGGUUGGAGAACCGGCGGGAGAAGGGCCAAGGGAAGAUCCGGUCAUCUGCUCCCGAGUCUGCACCCGGAAAGGCGAGUUCACCGGCCCCGGAGGAAAGGGGACACGCCCACUGUUCCCAGGGCAAAUGUGUCGCCGGCAUCCUGGACUCUGCCAGGCAAGACGCACAUUCACUACGCUCUGCCGGGAGGGGAGCGCAGCAGAGCUGCCCCUCUUUGGCUGCAAGACCCUGAGCAAGAGAAACCCGUAGGGGCUUUGCAGAGACCUGAAUCCCACCCACCAACCACACGGGCACCUACGGGCUGCCCCUCGGGGCAGGAUCAGCCAGCGGGAAGGGGGUUGAGGUUCCUCUGCGGCCUGGUGGCUGCCCGAGGGGCCGCCGGAGUCCAUCCACUUAUUCCUCAGUUGUUAAGCGCCCGGCAGGAGCAAACCGCUAGAAAGGAGUAUGCUAAGACCCCAUUACCCACUAAAUCUCCAGUUUCAUCUUUUGCGUCCUGCAUGACCAGGCCUUUCUGGUUUCUCAGGAGAACCUUCUGACCCAACUCUUCCCACAUCGGAAGAGUUUCCUAGUCUUUGUUCCAUACUGGCCGACAUAGAAGCAACUGUCACGUGUCAAUGUCAAAUACUGCGCUAGGCACUGGGCAUUCAAGGCACAGGAACCCGGCUUUUGCGCCGAGCGCUCACAGACCAGUGGGUGCAAAUCCUGAGGGACACACAGCUUGUCCCUUUAGCGACCACCACUUCUUUUGUGAGCUCCCGCUAAGGGUAGGUAAGUACUUGGGAGGGUUCCAGAAGAGGCCUCCUUUGAGCCGAAUCUGCAGAGACCAAGUGUCUACGAAAACUGCUUAAGAGUGCUUUGCACAAGGAGGCUGAGGCAGGAGAAUUGCCUGAACCCAGGAGGUGGAGGUUGCGGUGAGCCGAGAUCGCGCCAUUGCACUCCUGCCUGGGUAACAAGAGCGAAACUUCGUCUCAGGGGGAAAAAAAAAAAGAGUGCUUUGCACAUUCUCAUCCACAAAGGUCGAGGCUCCCACUGCGCCCAGGAAUGCGCCUCGGCAGACAUUAGGCGCCCCUUGAUUUUGUGUUUGCAUCUCACCCGGUCCGCUAGCUGACAAUGGCAUAGAAGAGUCAGUGUCUGUCACAGGCUAGAGGCUCGCAGAGGAUAGGAACGCGGGAAAUCUAGGCAAUUACUUCCCGCACAUACGAAGAACUAUUGCGAAGUUAAGAUCCCUUUAAAAACGGUGACGAGGCGGGAGAGGGCAGCUCCUCUCGUGCUUUCAGGAACGUCUUUACCUGUGUUCUUUACACCUUUUAUCUCCCCCAAACAAGGUCAUUGGUCUGUUUCUGCUUCUAUUUCUCCAUUCUCCUCCCCAUCUCUCUGUAUUUCCAAGGGAAAAAAUUGUGUUGCUUUAAUUCUAAUGCUUCUCAUAUUAAAUGCGUCUCUUUCCCCUCUC